Chenopodium quinoa (quinoa) is the source of this 4078-nucleotide long non-coding RNA. RefSeq lists it as uncharacterized. The transcript has 13 exons. NCBI's taxonomy places the organism in Eukaryota, Viridiplantae, Streptophyta, Magnoliopsida, Caryophyllales, Amaranthaceae. The record is from RefSeq and is a predicted model, not a curated record.
UCGUUUGGUAAAUCAUUGAUAAAAUAUACUCAUCAACAACUUCUAGGGUGAGUAUGGUUAGUUAGUUAAUAAAUUGGGUAUAAUAAUUAUUAUUAUCAUUGUUUGUGUUGUUUGUAUAGUUGGUGUUUUGGAAUUCGAAAGUUUUAAGAUGUUUGUUGCUAUGAUGAUAAUUUAAACUGCUAUUUGGUUGGGGUAAAUAGCAGUUUGGGUAAUACUUGAAUUUUUAUUUUUAAUUUGUUCUUGUAUUUUUUUUUUUUGAGUUUUAUAACUAUUAAAUUUACAUAAUUAAGAUACGAAAAUUUGAGUUUUCCACAAUAAUACAAAUGUCAUAUAGGUUAUAUGUAUGAUUCCUAUGAGAAAAAGACUUAAAGAAACAACAUAAUCACUAAAAUUAAGGAAAUUUUGUAUAUAACCACUUUUUAAAUCCCUUUUUAUUUUUUAUUUUUUUUUAUGUGCAAAAACCUACCUUUUUAAGAAAAUGUUGUUAAACACCACCAGUUUUUUAAAAUAAUUUGCAACAUACCACCGAAAGUGGAUGUUGACCACUUUUUCUGGCAUUGACCUAGUGAUGUGACUAUUAAUGAACCCUAAUUCCCCCCCUUUUUUUUCUUUCUUUCUUUCUCUUCUUUUGAUUUCCCUCUUCUCCUCUAUUACUCUUUCUUUUACUUUUUGUUCCUCCAUUGUUGAUGUUGUUGCUACUUCUUCACAAAUCAAGAGGUAAGUUUUCUUAGGAAUUUUUGUUAGGAACCCUAAUUAAUGUUGAUUGCUGCUGCUUUAAUUCUUCCACCAACCACGAGUUAUCCACCACCAACAAUCCCCUCUCACAGGCCGCUCACCACCCACGAGUUACCCACCACCCAGCUACCUUGCCUCCAUAGCAAAACCCACCCGCCCACCCAGCCAACCCAACCGCAAAGCCACUCUUUAUCAAUAGUGAAGUAGCUACCUACACCCAUUCGCUACCAUCACCUCGAAAAACCAUUCAAGAACAACCCACCCAUCAUAAAAACCAACCCACUUCCCUUCAAAAACCCAAGAUCUAAGUGGCAAUUCGAUGAGGGAGAAGAGGGGUUGUGACUUGACAAGGGAGGGAAGGGAAAAAUAGGAGGAGAAGAGGGAAAUUGAAAGAUAAAUUGUCAUUUGGGGGGGAAUUACGGUUCAUUAAAGGGGAAAUCGAAAGAAAAAAUGUCAUUAGGGGGAAAUCGAAAGAGUAAAAUGUCACGUGUCACGCAUGUGACUAGAUAAACGCCGGAGAAAGUUGUUAACAUCCACUUUUCCGCAGUUGGUGAAAUCCGAACUUGAUUUUUCAAAAUAUUAUAUUCUGGAGUGUUCAGAUGCGAAUCAUGUUUGUAAUCGAACUGCAUGAUCUCAUGGAGCAUCAUAUCAUUAGUCUCCACCCAACAUGUGCAAAGGCUUUUGUAGAUCCUAAUGAUAAAACAGCUAUUGAUUUCCGUGAAAUGAUGAAGAGAUCAAACAAUACCGUUCUCAGGGAAUUGUUAGUAGAAGGAGAUUAUGAUUAUAGAAAUAAAUUAUCAGCUUGGCAGCAGAACUUGCGGAAUGUUUCCCCUAGUGCUUCGCGUUCACAUGUAUUAGCGAGCAAUCCGAGUGAUAUAUUAGAACAAGGAUUGACACGUAUUCGGGACGCAUAUCGACAUGCCUUCAAAAACAUUGGGACAUGCCAUUCGCUUGAAGAAAUACAACACAUGUUUCAACAUGUGUUUCCCAAGCAUAUGAUCGAAUUUGCAAACUUGCAGAGUAGAUUAUCUUUCGAUGUUGUGAGCGGCGUUAAUGAUUUAUUAUCGGCUCCUUCUUUGAAAAGUCCUCUUGGCGCUUACAACCCAUUAUGAUGGUCAUGGCUCCAGCUCCGGGCAAAAUUUGCAUUCCAAUCCCGCCUCUACUGGCCCAGAUGUCUGAAUGCCUUCAUUUUCCUAAGCCAGUCUAUGAACUUGUAGAUUUUCGGACAAAUAAUGUAGUGUCCAUGUGUGGGCAGAGAAUUGUUCAGAUAUUUGUCUUUUUUUUUUGGUGGAGAAGCUGCCAGCAUGGAGGAGUCUUCUGAAAGAGCUGCCACGACAUCAUUUGGCUCUCUAAUUAAUCGUUAUUGUGUCCAUGUAGAUGACUUCAAGAUGAUAAGGUCCGAAUGUAUGGGCAUUGGGGGCGCUUCUUUAACCUUAAACGCCAACAGCUUGAGCACCUUUCUCGAGUGAAACCAGUGCCUGCUAUGUGGAAAUGGGCACUGUUGGGCCUUCGACCUGCUAUCCAGUACAUCCGUAUUGACUACAAGGAGUGCCUCUGUGUUGUUUGUUGGGCAAAUGGGGGCUUCAUACAAAAGCCUUGGGUUCAAUUCUCUCAGACUUAUUGAAAGGCCUCAUAGACUUCUUAUUCCUUCUGUACUUGUAUUUCUAGAGCUGCCUUGCAUUUUGGGUCUCCUCCAUCUGCACCAGGAUGAUGAAUCCAGAAAAGAGUGACAAGGCCCUGCUUUGUGAGCUCACCCCACGAUAUAGGCAUAUUAAGUCAACAGCUAAUGUUUGAGGACAUGGUACCAACGGCUAUUCUUUGAGGAUGACGAGGAACUCAAGAAUCUGAGACCCCAGCUUUACUCUGCCGCUGAAUACUGCGAGAAGUCUUAUCUUCAUAGUGAGCAGAAACAAAUGGUAUUGGACAACCUAAAAGAUUAUGCUGUACGAGCCUAGUAAAUGCUGUAGAUCACCUAGGCACUGUUGCGUACAAAUUGACUGACCUUGAGCAACAAACUUCAGAUGUGUCAAACACAGAGCUGAAAGUAACAUGUCUAAAUCAGCUUAUCAUUUUGUCUUCCGAAACUUCUCACGUGCCACACGUAUAUGGAGAUGGAAGGACUUAGGCAGCAGCAACUUUUGGCAAUUAUUCCGAGACAUCACAAACGCGAUUUAUUGCCAAAAAAACACUCUGCCAUAACAAUGUUUGAGAACCAGAUUGAGGAGUACAAAGAUUUCUGGCAAAAGGUCAAGGACUAUGAAAUUGCCAAUGCAUCACUUAGACCAGUGGUUGACUUGUUGGUCGGUACGCAGCCAGGCCUGAUGACUGCUAGAUGAGUUUUGGAGGCCAAGCCAUAAUACAGACGCUAAGUACUGAUAAGGCACCUGUCCUACCCAAGUAUGUUUCAAUUGCAGCUGUCCCACACACAUACAACCAAACUGAUUGCUAUGAUGUAUUGGGAGUUAUCUUUUUUGUUAGUGAGCUUAGAAUUUGACAACAGUGCAUGGAGUUGAUCAUCCAGUGCGCAAAAUUAAUUGUGAUCACAAUCCACAGGGUUGCAGCAAAUAUGCUCAUGUUAAGCGACCAAAUGGCAUGAAUUUGGGAAAUUUAGAAUUCAUCCUCAGAAAGUCAUUAGACAAAUUGGAAGCAUCAAACAGAGAAAGCAUAACAUUCAAGUUUGAUGUGUCGGAUAGAUCUAGAUCAAUGCACUUUACAGCUUUCACUGAAGAAUGCAAGAAACUAUUCAGACUUUUGGCUGCGGAGAUCUUUGAGAAAGUGACAGUGGUUUUGCCUGGGGACACUCGUUUUGGGACAAUUGCAAGGGACCUGCUUGCAAACCAUUUUCUAAUCCAUGAAUUUUUGUAUCAAGGAACAAGGUGCCUACUUGGGUGCUCAAGUCAGUCAGGUGGGAAUAGAGCAGAGCAGCCCUGCAUCACUGCUACUCCCUCCUACUUGGGUGCCUACUUUCAAACGUAGGAAACAUUGUCUCAAGCCUCUGAAUUGUAUUGGCAGAUGAUGUAUAUGACGUUCCACUCAGGGUUUUCAGCAAAUCUGAAGCAUACUUAAUCUAGAGCAUUCAAUAUCAUCUCAUCCAGUGGUCUAUCAAUGUUCCUUUACCAUACUAGUUGAGGACAUCAAGAGUUGCAACCAUUGCCUUUUUUUUUAUUACGUUUACCACGAAAUAAUAUCUCUGCCAUACUUUUGACAAGUAUUGAAUCAAUGUUUAGGACUUUGAAUUUAAUCUAUUAUAUUACCUUUGUUUCUGUAGAUUUCAUUGCAGCCACUUCUUUUGGUGUGAUGUUUAAAUACUUUAAUUAUAAAUGGCUCUACUAAAUAAUUUAAA